RNAcentral lists this transfer RNA (85 nucleotides) under Rhodotorula toruloides. RNAcentral's name for it is "tRNA-Trp (CCA) cove score=48.24". It matches the Rfam family "tRNA". Rfam says of the family: Transfer RNA (tRNA) molecules are approximately 80 nucleotides in length. Their secondary structure includes four short double-helical elements and three loops (D, anti-codon, and T loops). Lineage: Eukaryota; Fungi; Basidiomycota; Microbotryomycetes; Sporidiobolales; Sporidiobolaceae. The record is from RNAcentral.
GCCCUGGUAGCUCAGUGGCAGAGCGGGCGACUCCAGUUAAUCCCUGGGUAUCGUCAGGUCAUCCGUUCAAUCCGGGUUCGGGGCU